This 497-nucleotide ribosomal RNA is filed under the name uncultured bacterium. RNAcentral describes it as "partial 16S ribosomal RNA". It matches the Rfam family "Bacterial small subunit ribosomal RNA", at positions 28 to 507 of the family's 1533-position model. The record is from RNAcentral.
GAUGAACGCUGGCGGCGUGCCUAAUACAUGCAAGUCGAGCGAACAGACGAGGAGCUUGCUCCUCUGACGUUAGCGGCGGACGGGUGAGUAAUACGUGGAUAACCUACCUAUAAGACUGGGAUAAUUUCGGGAAACCGGUUCCAAUACCGGGUAAUAUAUUGAACCGCAUGGUUCAAUAGUGAAAGACGGUUUUGCUGAUUAUUAUAGUGGGAUCUGAACCGCAUUAGCUAGUUGGUAAGGUAACGGUUUACCAAGGGGAGGAUGAGUAGCAAACCUGAGAGGAUGAUCGGCCACACGGGAACUAAGACACGGACCCGACUCCGAAGGGAGGCAGCAGUAGGGAAUCUUCGGGAAAGAGCGGAAGCCUGAUGGAGAAACGCCGCGUGAGUGAGGAAGGUCUUCGGAGCGUAAAACUCGGUUAUUAGGGAAGAACAAAAGUGUAAGUAACUAUGCACGUCUUGACGGUAGCUAAACAGAAAGCCACGGCUAACUACGUG